GUAGGUGGUAAGCGUUGUCCGGAAUUAUUGGGCGUAAAGUGCGCGCAGGUGGUCUUUAAGUCUGAUGUGAAAGCCCCCGGGCUCAACCGGGGAGGGUCAUUGGAAACUGGGGAACUUGAGUGCAGGAGAGGAAAGUGGAAUUCCACGUGUAGCGGUGAAAUGCGUAGAUAUGUGGAGGAACACCAGUGGCGAAGGCGACUUUCUGGCCUGUAACUGACACUGAGGCGCGAAAGCGUGGGGAGCAAACAGGAUUAGAUACCCUGGUAGUCCACGCCGUAAACGAUGAGUGCUAAGUGUUGGGGGGUUUCCGCCCCUCAGUGCUGCAGCUAACGCAUUAAGCACUCCGCCUGGGGAGUACGGUCGCAAAGACUG
Molecule: ribosomal RNA, 372 nt
Filed under: uncultured organism
Description: partial 16S ribosomal RNA
Rfam family: Bacterial small subunit ribosomal RNA
Source: RNAcentral